Long non-coding RNA from Ficedula albicollis (Collared flycatcher), 792 nucleotides. RefSeq lists it as uncharacterized. The transcript is spliced from 3 exons. The record is from RefSeq and is a predicted model, not a curated record. Lineage: Eukaryota; Metazoa; Chordata; Aves; Passeriformes; Muscicapidae.
CUGCCACACAGAGGCAGAGUUGAGGCUGCUUCCAAAGGGAAAGAGUGAAGGAGGAAAAUCCUUUUUGCACCUUUACAUUUCCUGAGGAUGAGCUGAACACUAAACCAGAUGAACAAGCCACAGGAGCCCAGCACUUGCCCACCUGGGGAUGACCUUUUGAAGGAUCACUUGGAAGAGAGCAGAAACUUGGCCAGGUGAUGAUUCCAAGCUCUGCAGUCCCUGGAUCAGACAACUCAAAUGGAGAGCUCAGCUUCAAAGAAUCAAACAGAGCAGCACAGAAACAGCUCCAGAGCAUCUGAGGAGGCAGAGAAUGACACUCCUGACCCUGGUGAGGCCAGCAAGGCACACAGAGCUUCCAAAGUCGUCAGCUUUGAGCACAGGGGAACAUUUCUCCUUCUGUCUCUUCUAUUUUCCAGCAAAAAGAGAAGCACAGUGGUAGCAUGGCAAGAGAACAAAACUGUUCUUCCAGGAGGAACCAACAUGUCCAGCCAAAUAUCCCCUCAUUGACACUGGUGGGCUCUGAGUCAGGCUCACAAGAGGAUGAACAGCACAGAAUUUUCCAUGGAAAAUUCUCCCCUGAUGGAUAUUCACUCUCCUGGGAUGGGAUUAGGAUGGCAGGAACUUGCUUGGACCCCAAAAAAACAUCCAAACUCCCUGAGACUGGAAGAAUUUAGAUCUCACUGUGGCCUUUAUUAUUUACAUUUGUUUUUUCCUGGCCACGUGGUUUUGCCUUUUUACAGUGGGUGUGAAUUUGCCACACUUGUUCUACCAGACAGCUUGUAAAGGUUUGCU